Long non-coding RNA from Drosophila montana, 541 nucleotides. RefSeq lists it as uncharacterized. The transcript has 4 exons. Lineage: Eukaryota; Metazoa; Arthropoda; Insecta; Diptera; Drosophilidae. The record is from RefSeq and is a predicted model, not a curated record.
CUAACAAAUAUCUGAACUAUUUGUGUUUGAAAAUGCCAGAGAGCAACCUUCGCGGCCCUCGCACGCCUCUGACAUUCGCAUGCAAAUCAGCAGCCAGCGACAGUCAAAACAUGCAAGGAAUUCGCAUGCAAAUUCAUUUAUGAAGCCCACGACAGCCCAUAUGCUGAGCUAGAGUCUAGGCAUAGAUCGCGAUCGUAGAUCCACAUAACCUCAGAAAUUACAAUUAAUUAACUGAAAGUUCCAUCUAUUUGACUUUUAUGGGAGAAUAAAUAUUUAUGAUUUUGAUAAAAUGAUCAAGUGCAAAAUAUUCAAAACUCAGAUGAAGACUUCAGUUUAACGUGUAUCGGCUGUCAGUCGGCUCCACUCGCAACGCGUUGUUGCCCCUUCAACACCACCCGCUAUGCCAAUCAGUUACAUGCUGACUGACGUACAGGGUAUACAGGGCCUACACACGAAACCCGCAGCACAAACGGUCGUCAGAUUUUAUAAAAAUAGAUCUUGGCUUUUAGGAGAGACCAUUUUGCAAAACACUUUUGUGAGA